RNAcentral lists this small RNA (122 nucleotides) under unclassified sequences. Its description in RNAcentral is "LOOT RNA". It matches the Rfam family "LOOT RNA". From Rfam's summary of the family: Latescibacteria, OD1/Parcubacteria, OP11, TM7. Lineage (Microgenomates, aka OP11) The record is from Rfam by way of RNAcentral.
GGCCUAAACUUUACGAGCUACUUGUAAGGCAUGGUCAAAAAUACGCUACGAACAUAAAGAACCCAUCAUCAGGGCGUUCGUAGCGUUAUACGGGGAAACCCGUAUAGGGGUCGCAAGACCCU